ACUGCCCAAGCCAUUUGGAAUUCACAUCUCAAAAUCAUCAUAAUUUACUCUGAAACUUUAGAAGAUAGACAGCAGCCAUGGCAUUAAUCUACUACAACUCAGAGCAAGCGAAACCAAUGGAUCCUAGGAAG
Molecule: long non-coding RNA, 131 nt
Filed under: Fukomys damarensis (Damara mole-rat)
Lineage: Eukaryota; Metazoa; Chordata; Mammalia; Rodentia; Bathyergidae
Description: lncRNA (ENSFDAG00000027013.1)
Source: RNAcentral